RNAcentral lists this non-coding RNA (29 nucleotides) under Rattus norvegicus (Norway rat). Lineage: Eukaryota; Metazoa; Chordata; Mammalia; Rodentia; Muridae. The record is from RNAcentral.
GCCACGACUUAGCCCUCCUGUUGGAAAGG